Non-coding RNA from Myriangium duriaei CBS 260.36, 111 nucleotides. The record is from the annotation of a GenBank genome assembly. NCBI's taxonomy places the organism in Eukaryota, Fungi, Ascomycota, Dothideomycetes, Myriangiales, Myriangiaceae.
GGUCUUAUGGUCUAGUGGUAUGAUUCUUCCUUCGGGUUCACACCCGCUCUAAUUCCAAUUGGAGCUCUCCUGGCAUGGAAGAGGCCCCGCGUUCGAAUCGCGGUAAGACCC